UCAGGGCUGCGCGAUUAGUCAUUGCUGACAGCGGCCUCCGCCGGGGCUCACAGGGUGCAGCCGGCGUCGCGAUCCUUCAAGCGUCGGUCUGGUCGCCAUCCUCCAUCCUCCACGGCGUCCACUGCUGGUGACCGAGCCGCGGGCGGGGUAGCUUCGAGGGUAGCCGCAAGGCGGCGGGAGGCGCACCGGUGGCACAUCGAGAGGCUGGAGGAAAACACGGCUGGACCGUCGACUGUUCCCACGCGGGCUCCACAGCCAGGGGGGGAGCAUGAUGGAUUCACCACCGCAGUGUGUACCCCAGGGGAGGAGAGGCGGUGCUGAUCGCAAAGGCAAGAGCCCUCUCGUUCACGAAGAGCAACCUUUUGGAAUGUUUUUCAGCACCUCGAUGGGCUACCCCACUAUUCCUAUUCCACCCAUUUAUGUCGUCUGGGCAUGGCUGUUUGGCUCCCCGCUCGCUGAUCGCAAUGAAGUUUUGUUCCACCGCGCGAGCCGAAAAGCAAAAUGGUCGGACUUCAGAACAUUAAAGGAGGGGACAAACGUGUCGAGAGUGAUAGUAGAUGCAUGGUGUUUGGUGCUCAAUGCUAGGGAAAGGUAUCGGAGAUGGAGUGCGCCUUCCCGUCUAUUUGCCACGAUGGCCGCUACAAUUGGGAUCGGACUAUUGUGGGUAUUUCAUCCAGUUGCGACGAGAGGCUAUCGUGGUUUAAAUGGCGACUAGAUGCUGAUGUGCAGACAACAGACCACGUGGGGAUGGCCACAUUAGACAUGUAUAUCUUCCCGAUAUUGCAAAAGGGACGUUACUAUGUGAUGAGAAUCAGUGUCAAGUGAUCCAGGUUCGACAUUAUUGACAACUCGUCGGCAACGAACACGGGCACAGAAAUGUAUGGGGGAGCACCGGCAGAACUGUUUGAUUGCAGAUAGACCUCCUGGCUGCGUGCUUAGAUAGUAAAAAACAAACACUUCAUGCACACCGCUUAAGGAACUUGCAACCCACAAGGAUGCAGUUGUCAUGGAGCGACACCGCUACCAACUUAGACUCUGCAGCGUAUGCGAUGUGACACAUGGAGUCCUUCGUUGGACAGGAGUGCACCAGUUGGCAUUCUGGGCUUGAAAGAGGGAAUCUCGUACUAUUUCUAAACCUGCAGAAAAGGUUCAUGCACAACAUCCUGCUGAGUGCAGUAAAUGGCAGCAUGCAGAGUAUUGUAACACAGUAUGACCGCCACAGGUUCACACAUCUGCUCUAAGGAUUAGCUCAACCGUAGCAGUAGCAAGAUCACAAGUAAAGGGUGUACCCGUAAAUAAUGUAGUACUGUUUUUCUCAUUUUAAAUACGUUUUCUUUCACUUUUACAUGAUCAUCAUAGAACGUUUGAAUGUUGUCUUACAUGACUGUAAAGAAAUUAAAACACAACUG
Long non-coding RNA from Ipomoea nil (Japanese morning glory), 1409 nucleotides. RefSeq lists it as uncharacterized. The transcript is spliced from 7 exons. The record is from RefSeq and is a predicted model, not a curated record. NCBI's taxonomy places the organism in Eukaryota, Viridiplantae, Streptophyta, Magnoliopsida, Solanales, Convolvulaceae.